This is a long non-coding RNA of Rosa chinensis, 788 nucleotides long. RefSeq lists it as uncharacterized. The transcript has 2 exons. Lineage: Eukaryota; Viridiplantae; Streptophyta; Magnoliopsida; Rosales; Rosaceae. The record is from RefSeq and is a predicted model, not a curated record.
UCUCUCACAUUUCUCUCUCUCUCUCUCUCGGACACGGCCUCUUUGGCUGCGUUUGGGGGGCUUUUUUGCUCCCUCGCUUAUAAGCAGAAGACCCAUAAGCGUUUGGUAACCAAAAUUUUGAGCAGCUUUUUUCAGAAGCUGCAAUGGCUUCGGUCGAAAAGCAGAAGCAGAUUCAACCAAGCUUUUAGAAGCCAGAAGCCCGAAAUCACUGUGGCGCUGGUGACUGUAGAUUAAUGAACCUUCUAUAAUACCGGUCUUCACCCUUUCUUGGUUGAAGCUAUUACUCGUUGCCCUCAGACCCUUUUGAUAUCCGGAUAUCCCUACGCUGCAUCUAUCUCUCUCCCUCGUCACAGACGCCUCAUCGAUCUCGAUCCCUCUGAUGCCACCUCACGUAGCUUCUCAUCAAGAGCAAGCAAGGCUGCUAGGCAAUUUGAUUUAGGUUAGUUUUAAUGGUUGUGGAGACCUAAUCUUGGCAUCUUUCAUGACAUAUGUGUCGGAGCACCUUGCAACUAGAUCAUUCUUGAGAGGCCUUGAAGAACGAGAUGCUACGAGAAGUAGGAGAUUUUGUUAGAUAUAGUUCACUGGUGACAAAACUGAGCAUGUAAAACUAUUAACCAAAAGACCAAGUAUGUCCUGUAAGCAGUGUUUGAUCCUGUUGUAAUCUGUUUCACAUAGAACGCCUAGAUGAAUUUGUAAAUUAUUGCCAGAAAAUAUGUUGAUAAGUGCUUUUUCUCCAAGAAAUUUUGUUGUAACAUUGUUACGGAAACUAUUAAUGAUACUGUUAACAU